This 481-nucleotide long non-coding RNA is filed under the name Phasianus colchicus (ring-necked pheasant). RNAcentral describes it as "lncRNA (ENSPCLG00000002339.1)". The record is from RNAcentral. Lineage: Eukaryota; Metazoa; Chordata; Aves; Galliformes; Phasianidae.
AUGAAACUAAAACUAGAACUUCUCGAUAUUUCUAGUAUACGUUCAGCUGCAAGAUACUGCUCCAACUCACCAGCCACAAGCAGCAAAAAAAAAAAAAAGAAGAGACUAAACAAGAAGGGUCUGCUGCUGAGAGGCAUCACAUCACAGGUAGCUGCAAGUUAUCAGCUCAGGUCCCGUGUACAUGAUGCUCUAACAGAUCAAAACUUCUCCCACCAGAAGCAAAACUGCUCACACAGCUGUGAAGGACAGCUUUUGCCAGACUGAAGUUGAGACAUUCAGCAUGCCAUAGAAUGCCCCUAUGAAUGUUCAGCAGUAAACUGUGAAGUACAGACCCUGGGACCAACACUGAUGAAUGCUGAUCUGGAAACUGCCUUCAUUCACGAGCAGGAAACGCUCCUGUUUUAAAAGGCAAUUAAUUAUUAUAUUUUUAAUGUGGAAAUCUGGAAUGCACAUAAAUAAAUCCAUUAAAUAAGGAUUUACA